This 339-nucleotide ribosomal RNA is filed under the name uncultured Spirochaetota bacterium. RNAcentral's name for it is "bacterial SSU rRNA". It matches the Rfam family "Bacterial small subunit ribosomal RNA", at positions 29 to 351 of the family's 1533-position model. The record is from RNAcentral. Lineage: Bacteria; Pseudomonadati; Spirochaetota.
AACGAACGCUGGCGGCGCGUCUUAAACAUGCAAGUCGAACGAGAAUCCCAGUGCUUGCAUUGGGAGGAAAGUGGCGAACGGGUGAGUAACACGUGGAUAAUCUACCUCCGGGAUGGGGACAACCAUUGGAAACGGUGGUUAAUACCGAAUAAUAUGGCUGUUACACAAGUAAUAGCUAUCAAAGGUGGGACCGCAAGGCCUACUGCCUGGAGAUGAGUCCGCGGCCCAUUAGCUAGUUGGCGGGGUAAUGGCCCACCAAGGCUACGAUGGGUAGCCGGCCUGAGAGGGUGUCCGGCCACAUUGGGACUGAGAUACGGCCCAGACUCCUACGGGUGGCAG